This 301-nucleotide ribosomal RNA is filed under the name uncultured bacterium. Its description in RNAcentral is "partial 16S ribosomal RNA". It matches the Rfam family "Bacterial small subunit ribosomal RNA", at positions 509 to 809 of the family's 1533-position model. The record is from RNAcentral.
CAGCAGCCGCGGGAAUACGUAGGGUGCGAGCGUUAAUCGGAAUUACUGGGCGUAAAGCGUGCGCAGGCGGUUGUGUAAGACAGGUGUGAAAUCCCCGGGCUUAGCCUGGGAACUGCGCUUGUGACUGCACAGCUAGAGUAUGGCAGAGGGGGGUGGAAUUCCACGUGUAGCAGUGAAAUGCGUAGAGAUGUGGAGGAACACCGAUGGCGAAGGCAGCCCCCUGGGCCAAUACUGACGCUCAUGCACGAAAGCGUGGGGAGCAAACAGGAUUAGAUACCCCGGUAGUCCCUGUCUCUUAUAA